This 424-nucleotide ribosomal RNA is filed under the name uncultured bacterium. RNAcentral describes it as "bacterial SSU rRNA". It matches the Rfam family "Bacterial small subunit ribosomal RNA", at positions 356 to 772 of the family's 1533-position model. The record is from RNAcentral.
AGGGAAUCUUCCACAAUGGCCGAAAGUCUGAUGGAGCAACGCCGCGUGAGUGAAGAAGGUUUUCGGAUCGUAAAACUCUGUUGUAAGGGAAGAACACGUACGAGAGUAACUGCUCGUACCUUGACGGUACCUUAUUAGAAAGCCACGGCUAACUACGUGCCAGCAGCCGCGGUAAUACGUAGGUGGCAAGCGUUGUCCGGAAUUAUUGGGCGUAAAGCGCGCGCAGGCGGUUCUUUAAGUCUGAUGUGAAAGCCCACGGCUCAACCGUUGAGGGUCAUUGGAAACUGGAGAACUUGAGUACAGAAGAGGAAAGCGGAAUUUCACGUGUAGCGGUGAAAUGCGUAGAGAUGUGGAGGAACACCAGUGGCGAAGGCGGCUUUCUGGUCUGUAACUGACGCUGAGGCGCGAAAGCGUGGGGAGCAAA